UACGGAGGGGGCAAGCGUUGUUCGGAAUUACUGGGCGUAAAGGGCUCGUAGGCGGCCAACUAAGUCAGACGUGAAAUCCCUCGGCUUAACCGGGGAACUGCGUCUGAUACUGGAUGGCUUGAGAUUGGGAGAGGGAUGCGGAAUUCCAGGUGUAGCGGUGAAAUGCGUAGAUAUCUGGAGGAACACCGGUGGCGAAGGCGGCAUCCUGGACCAACACUGACGCUGAGGAGCGAAAGCCAGGGGAGCAAACGGG
This 253-nucleotide ribosomal RNA is filed under the name uncultured bacterium. RNAcentral's name for it is "partial 16S ribosomal RNA". It matches the Rfam family "Bacterial small subunit ribosomal RNA", at positions 524 to 776 of the family's 1533-position model. The record is from RNAcentral.